This 377-nucleotide ribosomal RNA is filed under the name uncultured bacterium. Its description in RNAcentral is "bacterial SSU rRNA". It matches the Rfam family "Bacterial small subunit ribosomal RNA", at positions 523 to 898 of the family's 1533-position model. The record is from RNAcentral.
AUACGUAGGUGGCAAGCGUUGUCCGGAAUUAUUGGGCGUAAAGCGCGCGCAGGCGGCUUCUUAAGUCUGAUGUGAAAGCCCACGGCUCAACCGUGGAGGGUCAUUGGAAACUGGGAGGCUUGAGUGCAGAAGAGAAGAGCGGAAUUCCACGUGUAGCGGUGAAAUGCGUAGAGAUGUGGAGGAACACCAGUGGCGAAGGCGGCUCUUUGGUCUGUAACUGACGCUGAGGCGCGAAAGCGUGGGGAGAGAACAGGAUUAGAUACCCUGGUAUUCCACGCCGUAAACGAUGAGUGCUAAGUGUUAGGGGGUUUCCGCCCCUUAGUGCUGCAGCAAACGCAUUAAGCGCUCCGCCUGGGGAGUACGGCCGCAAGGCUGAA